UCCUUCAAACUUUUGGGAUUAAGGCAUUGUGUUCAAUCCUUGUUCUAGUUCGCCGAAAAUAAUAUAGAUUGAGUGCUCAACUAUAUUAUUGUAAUUCAUUUUAUCCUGGGAGACCGACACUACAACGCUCCUAGCACCAUGGGAGGUAGCGAAUUGGUUUUAAGGAAACUGUGUUAUAUACGACUUGGGUUUUUCCAUUACUGUUUCCAUUUCCAUUACCGGGCUGUUAUUUUCAGAUUUCUCAUUUAUAUUCGGAA
Ipomoea triloba (trilobed morning glory) is the source of this 257-nucleotide long non-coding RNA. RefSeq lists it as uncharacterized. NCBI's taxonomy places the organism in Eukaryota, Viridiplantae, Streptophyta, Magnoliopsida, Solanales, Convolvulaceae. The record is from RefSeq and is a predicted model, not a curated record. The transcript is spliced from 2 exons.